CCCAGACUCCUACGGGAGGCAGCAGUGGGGGAUAUUGCACAAUGGGGGGAACCCUGAUGCAGCGACGCCGCGUGGGUGAAGAAGCGCCUCGGCGCGUAAAGCCCUGUCAGCAGGGAAGAAAAUGACGGUACCUGAAGAAGAAGCCCCGGCUAACUACGUGCCAGCAGCCGCGGUAAUACGUAGGGGGCAAGCGUUAUCCGGAUUUACUGGGUGUAAAGGGGGCGCAGACGGCAGCGCAAGCCAGGAGUGAAAGCCCGGGGCCCAACCCCGGGACUGCUCUUGGAACUGCGCGGCUGAAGUGCAGGAGGGGCAGGCGGAAUUCCUGGUGUAGCGGUGAAAUGCGUAGAUAUCAGGAGGGACACCGGUGGCGAAGGCGGCCUGCUGGACUGCGACUGACGUUGAGGCCCGAAAGCGUGGGGAGCAAACAGGAUUAGAUACCCCAGUAAG
Molecule: ribosomal RNA, 447 nt
Filed under: uncultured bacterium
Lineage: Bacteria
Description: partial 16S ribosomal RNA
Rfam family: Bacterial small subunit ribosomal RNA
Source: RNAcentral